Long non-coding RNA from Daphnia magna, 680 nucleotides. RefSeq lists it as uncharacterized. The record is from RefSeq and is a predicted model, not a curated record. Lineage: Eukaryota; Metazoa; Arthropoda; Branchiopoda; Diplostraca; Daphniidae. The transcript has 4 exons.
CACCAUUUCCAGGGUUUUCAUUGGCUCAGUGGGAUGGUCACGUGACCAUCCUUUCAAGCCACGCAGUGGUGGGUAGGCCCCUAGCCCCUACCCCCGAAAUCUCAGCAGCCGCCGUCGCAUUUGAACCGGCAAUUGUUUUUUUUCCUCGUUUGUUGUCAUUUUCGUUUUUAAUGGCGGCCUGCUGUCAUUUAAAAUGAAUAAAUAUAUUACUUUUAGAAAAGGGCCGACCUCUCGUGAAGAGAACGAUGGAAUUUAUAGAUUCGGCUGGGAAACUUGUCGAUAAAGCUUUUUUGCUUCUUUAGAUAAACUGACACGAGAGUUUGGUACCUUCUCAAACAGGCAUAAUUUCAAUCUAAUUAAUUGUAUCUGAGAUUUUUUUACCAGAUUUGUUUACUAACAGGGAGCCCUCACUUUUUGCCGUAGCAAAACUGUUGGCAACUCGUCUUGUAAAUCUGAACAGGGUAGAAGUUCUUUGGCGUCCUGUAACAAAUCACCUGCUGGAAGUCAUCAUCCACCCACUUAACCGCUUGAGAGGAUGGGGAAUAGAUGUCAUUACUACGUUAGUUAGAUCAGUAAUUCAAUGUGAUUAUUCUACCCCUUUAAAAGAAAACCAGAGAUUGCAGACGUUGUUAAUAUCACCAUUAAAUGAGCUGUCUAGUACCAGUUUUGCAGACAUGCAG